GAUGAACGCUGGCGGCGUGCCUAAUACAUGCAAGUCGAGCGAACAGAUGAGGAGCUUGCUCCUCUUACGUUAGCGGCGGACGGGUGAGUAACACGUGGAUAACCUACCUAUAAGACUGGGAUAACUUCGGGAAACCGGAGCUAAUACCGGAUAAUAUAUUGAACCGCAUGGUUCAAUAGUGAAAGACGGUUUUGCUGUCACUUAUAGAGGGAUCCGCGCCGCAUUAGCUAGUUGGUAAGGUAACGGCUUACCAAGGCAACGAUGCGUAGCCGACCUGAGAGGGUGAUCGCCCACACUGGAACUGAGACACGGUCCAGACUCCUACGGGAGGCAGCAGUAGGGAAUCUUCCGCAAAGGGCGAAAGCCUGACGGAGCAACGCCGCGUGAGUGAUGAAGGUCUUCGGAUCGUAAAACUCUGUUAUUAGGGAAGAACAAAUGUGUAAGUAAAUAUGCACGUCUUGACGGUACCUAAUCAGAAAGCCACGGCUAACUACGUG
This 497-nucleotide ribosomal RNA is filed under the name uncultured bacterium. Its description in RNAcentral is "partial 16S ribosomal RNA". It matches the Rfam family "Bacterial small subunit ribosomal RNA", at positions 28 to 507 of the family's 1533-position model. The record is from RNAcentral.